GUGUCAGCCGCCNCGGUAAUACGAAGGUGGCAAGCGUUGUUCGGAUUUACUGGGCGUACAGGGAGCGUAGGCGGUUGGGUAAGCCCUUCGUGAAAUCUCCGGGCCUAACCCGGAAAGUGCGGAGGGGACUGCUCGGCUAGAGGAUGGGAGAGGAGCGCGGAAUUCCCGGUGUAGCGGUGAAAUGCGUAGAGAUCGGGAGGAAGGCCGGUGGCGAAGGCGGCGCUCUGGAACAUUUCUGACGCUGAGGCUCGAAAGCGUGGGGAGCAAACAGGAUUAGAUACCCUGGUAGUCCACGCCUUAAACGAUGAAUACUAAGUGUCGGCGGGUUACCGCCGGUGCCGCAGCUAACGCAUUAAGUAUUCCGCCUGGGAAGUACGGCCGCAAGGUUGAAACUCAAAUGAAUUGACGG
Molecule: ribosomal RNA, 409 nt
Filed under: uncultured bacterium
Lineage: Bacteria
Description: bacterial SSU rRNA
Rfam family: Bacterial small subunit ribosomal RNA
Source: RNAcentral